Molecule: transfer RNA, 76 nt
Filed under: Candidatus Aminicenantota bacterium
Lineage: Bacteria; Candidatus Aminicenantota
Description: Candidatus Aminicenantes bacterium (sediment metagenome) tRNA-Ala
Rfam family: tRNA
About the family: Transfer RNA (tRNA) molecules are approximately 80 nucleotides in length. Their secondary structure includes four short double-helical elements and three loops (D, anti-codon, and T loops). Further hydrogen bonds mediate the characteristic L-shaped molecular structure. tRNAs have two regions of fundamental functional importance: the anti-codon, which is responsible for specific mRNA codon recognition, and the 3' end, to which the tRNAs corresponding amino acid is attached (by aminoacyl-tRNA synthetases). tRNAs cope with the degeneracy of the genetic code in two manners: having more than one tRNA (with a specific anti-codon) for a particular amino acid; and 'wobble' base-pairing, i.e. permitting non-standard base-pairing at the 3rd anti-codon position.
Source: RNAcentral
GGGGCUGUAGCUCAGCUGGGAGAGCGCUUGACUGGCAGUCAAGAGGUCGGGGGUUCGAGUCCCCUCAGCUCCACCA